ACGUGACCCGCGAGCGUAUUUGCCGAGCGCACUGGUAGGGCACACGCACACACGCAACCAACUGGCGUCACUUGGUGAGCUCACUGCGGAACCCAACGCGAGACCUCAUUUUGUUUCUUUGGUGAAUUUCCAAGCAGUCAUUUUUGAAAUGACGUUUUUUGUUUGAGUUCUGAAUGUUUCUGGGCUAUGAUGUGGACGCGCCUAAAACACUUGGGUGCAAGUGCCACCACAUGCUGGGUGGAAUUAACAGUGAGAAGAACACACACACUCGGUGAACCAAGCACUCCGGGCGUCUUAGUUGGCGAGUCUCCUGUGCAUUUCCUUCCAGUGAGCUCAUGGAAUGAACUCUGAUUUCUUGGCAGCGAGUGACGACAGGUGCUAAGGGGAGUCUUGUUAAGGGCUUGAAUCAAUUGAAUUGUAUUCACGCUUGAAAGAUCAAAGUUAA
Long non-coding RNA from Hippocampus zosterae (dwarf seahorse), 445 nucleotides. RefSeq lists it as uncharacterized. The record is from RefSeq and is a predicted model, not a curated record. The transcript has 2 exons. NCBI's taxonomy places the organism in Eukaryota, Metazoa, Chordata, Actinopteri, Syngnathiformes, Syngnathidae.